CACCACCUGUCACUCCUACCGAUUGAAUGGUCCGGUGGAGUGUUCGGAUCGCGACGAAGUGGUGGUUCAACGCCGACGACGUCGCGAGAAGUCCACAAAACCUUAUCAUUUAGAGGAAGGAGAAGUCGUAACAAGGUGUUCGUAGGUGAACCUGCGGAAG
RNAcentral lists this non-coding RNA (160 nucleotides) under Cephalotus follicularis. RNAcentral describes it as "Eukaryotic small subunit ribosomal RNA". It matches the Rfam family "Eukaryotic small subunit ribosomal RNA", at positions 1667 to 1823 of the family's 1831-position model. The record is from Rfam by way of RNAcentral. Lineage: Eukaryota; Viridiplantae; Streptophyta; Magnoliopsida; Oxalidales; Cephalotaceae.